RNAcentral lists this signal recognition particle RNA (100 nucleotides) under Lachnospiraceae bacterium. RNAcentral describes it as "signal recognition particle sRNA small type". It matches the Rfam family "Bacterial small signal recognition particle RNA". Rfam says of the family: The signal recognition particle (SRP) is a universally conserved ribonucleoprotein involved in the co-translational targeting of proteins to membranes. The record is from RNAcentral. Lineage: Bacteria; Bacillati; Bacillota; Clostridia; Lachnospirales; Lachnospiraceae.
GUUUGGGUCUUACGCAAUGAUUCCCCGUGAACCGUGUCAGAUUGGGAACAAAGCAGCACUAAGCGGGCCCUAUCAUGUGCCGUGAGGGUGCCUGGCGGAG